RNAcentral lists this ribosomal RNA (497 nucleotides) under uncultured bacterium. RNAcentral describes it as "partial 16S ribosomal RNA". It matches the Rfam family "Bacterial small subunit ribosomal RNA", at positions 28 to 507 of the family's 1533-position model. The record is from RNAcentral.
GAUGAACGCUGGCGGCGUGCCUAAUACAUGCAAGUCGAGCGAACAGACGAGGAGCUUGCUCCUCUGACGUUAUCGGCGGACGGGAGAGUAACACGUGGAUAACCUACCUAUAAGACUGGGAUAACUUCGGGAAACCGUAGCUAAUACCGGAUAAUAUAUUGAACCGCAUGGUGCAAUAGUUAGAGUCGGUUUUUCUGUCACUUAUAGAUGGAUCCGCGCCGCAUCCACUAGUUGGUAAGGUAGUGGCUUACCAAGGCAACGAUGGGUAGCCGACCCCAAAGCGUCAUUGGCUACCCUGGCACUGAGACACGGCCCCGACUCCUACAGUGGGACGCAGUCCAGACUCUUCCGCGAUGCAGGAGAGCUUGACGGAGGAACGUGGCGUGAAUCCUGAUCCUGCUAUGCCCGUAAAGCUCUGUUAGUAUGAGAGUUCUAAUGUGCUUUUACCUAGGAUGAUAAUGACGGUACCGAGUCAAAAAGCCCCGGCUAACUCCGUG